GGGGGCGCUAAACACUGAGGUUUAAUGUGUUUAGCAAACAAACGCAUGAGGAAGAAGAUCAGUUUCAGCUGAGCAGAGUCUUCUGAGGAGAGUUCAGCAGCUCACGUGAAGCUCCUCCCACUGCAACACAUCAUCAGUGAAGCUCCUCCCACUGCAACACAUCAUCAGUGAAGCUCCUCCCACUGCAACACAUCAUCAGUGAAGCUCCUCCCACUGCAACACAUCAUCAGUGAAGCUCCUCCCACUGCAACACAUCAUCAGUGAAGCUCCUCCCACUGCAACACAUCAUCAGUGAAGCUCCUCCCACAGUAGUUCAGCAAUAAAUGCUGGAAUAUCUCCAUCAGUUCACAAGUGAAGACGAGCAUCUAAUCAUCAGGAAGAGCUGAAAUCUGCAAAGACUGAGUUUAUUAAAGAGGACAGAGAGAAGAUGAGAGAUCCAGAGCCCUGCAGAAUCAAACACACUGAAGAUACUGAAGAACUAACAGAGUUAAAUGAAGAAUUGAGUGAAAUUGAGGAGAAAAAUCAUGUCAAAAGUAGAGAAAAACCUUCGAGUUGCUCUCAAACUAAACAGAAAGAUUUAAAGAAAAGAAGAGCCAAGAAAUCUUUCACCUGCUCUCAGUGUGGAAAGAGUUUCACAAGCAAACGUAAUCUUGAGCGUCACAUGAGAGUUCAUACACUUGUGAUCAGUGCGGGAAGAGUUUCACACAAUCAUCACACCUUAAGAUACACAUGAAUAUCCACACUAGAGAGAAACUGUACUCGUGUGAUCAAUGCAGCAAAACAUUUUUGUGGGCUUCAGACCUGAAGCAGCACCU
This 815-nucleotide long non-coding RNA is filed under the name Sinocyclocheilus grahami. Its description in RNAcentral is "lncRNA (ENSSGRG00000005091.1)". The record is from RNAcentral. Lineage: Eukaryota; Metazoa; Chordata; Actinopteri; Cypriniformes; Cyprinidae.